ACGAACGCUGGCGGCAGGCCUAACACAUGCAAGUCGAGCGAGACCUUCGGGUCUAGCGGCGGACGGGUUAGUAACGCGUGGGAACGUGCCCUUCUCUGCGGAAUAGCCACUGGAAACGGUGAGUAAUACCGCAUACGCCCUUCGGGGGAAAGAUUUAUCGGAGAAGGAUCGGCCCGCGUUAGAUUAGAUAGUUGGUGGGGUAACGGCCUACCAAGUCUACGAUCUAUAGCUGGUUUUAGAGGAUGAUCAGCAACACUGGGACUGAGACACGGCCCAGACUCCUACGGGAGGCAGCAGUGAGGAAUAUUGGACAAUGGGCGAGAGCCUGAUCUAGCCAUGCCGCGUGUGUGAUGAAGGUCUUAGGAUCGUAAAGCACUUUCGCCAGGGAUGAUAAUGACGGUACCCGCAGAAUAAGCUCCGGCUAACUUCGUG
This 432-nucleotide ribosomal RNA is filed under the name uncultured bacterium. Its description in RNAcentral is "bacterial SSU rRNA". It matches the Rfam family "Bacterial small subunit ribosomal RNA", at positions 29 to 507 of the family's 1533-position model. The record is from RNAcentral.